Molecule: ribosomal RNA, 231 nt
Filed under: marine bacterium SIMO-IS141
Lineage: Bacteria; Pseudomonadati; Pseudomonadota; Alphaproteobacteria
Description: partial 16S ribosomal RNA
Rfam family: Bacterial small subunit ribosomal RNA (bases 35-231)
Source: RNAcentral
CGGAACGCUNCCUUGCGGGGUGAGUGGCAGCACGGGNUGAGUAACGCGUGGGAAUCUACCCAUCUCUACGGGAUAGCUCCGGGUAAACUGGAAUUAAUNCCGUAUACGUCCUCCGGGAGAAAGAUUUAUCGGGGAUGGAUGANCCCGCGUUGGAUUANCUAGUUGGUGGGGUAAAAGCCUACCAAGGCCGACCAUCCAUAGCUGGUCUAAGAGGAUGAUCAGCCACAUUGG